This 372-nucleotide ribosomal RNA is filed under the name uncultured organism. RNAcentral's name for it is "bacterial SSU rRNA". It matches the Rfam family "Bacterial small subunit ribosomal RNA", at positions 526 to 896 of the family's 1533-position model. The record is from RNAcentral.
CAGAGGGGGCAAGCGUUAUUCGGAAUUAUUGGGCGUAAAGGGCGCGUAGGCGGCCUUGCAAGUGACGGGUGAAAUCCCUCGGCUCAACCGAGGAACUGCCUGUCAGACUGCAUGGCUUGAGACCGGGAGAGGUGAGUGGAAUUCCCAGUGUAGCGGUGAAAUGCGUAGAUAUUGGGAGGAACACCAGUGGCGAAGGCGGCUCACUGGACCGGUACUGACGCUGAGGCGCGAAAGCGUGGGGAGCAAACAGGAUUAGAUACCCUGGUAGUCCACGCCGUAAACGAUGAGUGCUUGGUGUGGCGGGUAUCGACCCCUGCUGUGCCGAAGUCAACACAUUAAGCACUCCGCCUGGGGAGUACGGUCGCAAGACUG